UAAUGAUGAUGAGAGCAAUUUCUGAGCAUAACCUUGAAUAUUUCCCAAGCUUGGUAAAGAUUCUCUCCAUCUUUCUGCCUGAAACUCAGAAUCUCACUUCUCAAACA
This is a non-coding RNA of Capsicum annuum, 107 nucleotides long. The record is from Rfam. NCBI's taxonomy places the organism in Eukaryota, Viridiplantae, Streptophyta, Magnoliopsida, Solanales, Solanaceae.